UACGGGGGGGGCAAGCGUUGUUCGGAAUUACUGGGCGUAAAGGGCUCGUAGGUGGCCAACUAAGUCAGACGUGAAAUCCCUCGGCUCAACUGAGGAACUGCCUUUGAAACUGUCGGGCUUGAGGCCGGGAGGGGGUAGCGGAAUUCCCAGUGUAGCGGUGAAAUGCGUAGAUAUUGGGAGGAACACCGGUGGCGAAGGCGGCUACCUGGACCGGUUCUGACGCUGAUGCGCGAAAGCGUGGGUAGCAAACAGG
Molecule: ribosomal RNA, 253 nt
Filed under: uncultured bacterium
Lineage: Bacteria
Description: partial 16S ribosomal RNA
Rfam family: Bacterial small subunit ribosomal RNA
Source: RNAcentral